Molecule: long non-coding RNA, 615 nt
Organism: Lagopus muta (rock ptarmigan)
Lineage: Eukaryota; Metazoa; Chordata; Aves; Galliformes; Phasianidae
Exons: 3
Source: RefSeq, a predicted model, not a curated record
AACAAGCUGCUCUUUUCUAAGGGAUAGCUAAAGGGUUGCCUCAGAACUGUCAAAGACUAUCAGGCAGACAAAUAAUCUUGAAGAUAAUCUUGAAUCUUGGAGAUAUUUUUACAAAGAGGUGAUAUAUUUUUGUACCUGACUCAGCUAUCCCUUUUUGAAUGUCAUUUGUCCAGCAAGCACCCUCAGAAAUGAUUGCUGUUUGAAGUAUAUAUCCACUGAGCUGUUCAGAGGAUCUGCAGAAAAUUGAAGUGGAGGUUCAAGAGUCAAAGAGCUCUGAUUACAGACGGUCCCCAAGAAAGAUGGCAUGAGAAGAAGUCUGCGUUUUUCUUAAAAACACCAGAAUUGUAAUUAGUUUCAUUUCCUUAGCUCAACAGCUAGCAUUUGAUCUCUGAUAAAACCUCUAGUUAUUAUUUACCAUGCUGGGUUAAAGCAAUUUGCUUGGAUUUAAUUCUAUAUAUACUCACUGUCUUCAUAUAAUUGAAUGAAAAGUCAGUAAGGGAAUAUUUAUAAUCUGUAAGUGAUACCUAAUUAACAACAAAAGCUCUUGUCAAGAUAAUCACCAGGGGGUUUUCAAACUGUUAGGAUACUCAUAAGAAAUAUAAAUAAACUAGAGAA